GACGAACGCUGGCGGCGUGCUUAACACAUGCAAGUCGAACGGUGAACGAGGGUGCUUGCUCCCCCCGGGUCAGUGGCGAGUGGGUGAGUAAUACGUGAGCAAUCUGCGCCGUAGGCUUGGAUAAGCGUUGCAAGCGAUGAUAAAUACUAGAUACUACUCGGGAGUGGAUCGUCUUGGCGUGUUUCGAGCGUCGGUGCGGGAUGAGCUGCUGGUCUACCUGCUUGUUGGUGAGGUACUGGCUCACCAAGUGGCCGGCGGGUAGCCGGCCUGGGAGGGUGGCCGGCCACACUGGGACUGAGAACCGGCCCGGACUCCUCCGGGAGGCAGCAGUGGGGAGUAUUGCACAAUGGGCGCAGCCCUGUUGCAGCAACGCCGCGUGAGGGACGACGGCCUUCGGGUGGUAAACCUCUUUUAGCAGGGAAGAAGCGAGAGUGACGGUACCUGCAGAAAAAGCACCGGCUAACUACGUG
RNAcentral lists this ribosomal RNA (470 nucleotides) under uncultured bacterium. RNAcentral's name for it is "partial 16S ribosomal RNA". It matches the Rfam family "Bacterial small subunit ribosomal RNA", at positions 28 to 507 of the family's 1533-position model. The record is from RNAcentral.